RNAcentral lists this transfer RNA (950 nucleotides) under Bradyrhizobium sp. RNAcentral describes it as "partial 16S-23S ribosomal RNA intergenic spacer". The stretch from base 230 to 303 matches the Rfam family "tRNA". The record is from RNAcentral. Lineage: Bacteria; Pseudomonadati; Pseudomonadota; Alphaproteobacteria; Hyphomicrobiales; Nitrobacteraceae.
CUAAGGAUGAUCCUUCAGUUCAGCUUCGGCUAACUAUCGGAUCGUUUUAGAAACAUCAGGGGCCAAUCGAUCGCCAGAUCAUUGAGCUCCAUUGGCGGGAUUUCGCCGUCUUCGUUUCUCUUUCUUCGCGGACGAACACGCGCCAGGGGCUACAGCGCUGCGCGAUGCAUCGGCGCUAAGCCGAUUGCGCGCGAGCAUGCCUCUGAUCCUCAACUGAGGACAGCGUUAGGGGCUUGUAGCUCAGUUGGUUAGAGCGCGCGCUUGAUAAGCGUGAGGUCGGAAGUUCAAGUCUUCCCAGGCCCACCAGCCUUUGCGCUUCGCAGCUUCGGCUAGGCAAGCCCUUUGAGACGAUGGCUGCUCCGCCGUAGCCUUGGCGUAGGCGAGCGCAGUAAGAGCAUUCGUCUUCUGGUUACGGGGCCAUAGCUCAGCUGGGAGAGCGCGUGCUUUGCAAGCAUGAGGUCGUCGGUUCGAUCCCGUCUGGCUCCACCAGCCUUCGCUGGCUGCGCCAGCUACGGCUCGGCGAGCCGCUCGAUACGAAGGCUGCCAUGGCGUAGCUCGAGAGCGAAGACGGGCUGAAAAUCGGCCAAGUAUAUCGUCCGCGAAACAUCAAUUCGCAUGCGUGAUCCUCACCAGGAUGCGUCAUGCGUGUUUUCUGACAUCGUAAAGAGGAGAUCGAUCCGAGUUUGGAUCAAGCGAAGCAAUUCGCCUGACCCAAUCACUAUCUCCGGGAUCAUUUCGGCGCUCGCUUCAGUCGUGAGAUUGAAUGCGGGUUGUAAAUGGUCCUUGUUAGCGAAGCCUGACCGCCUCGCUAUCGGUUCGAUCUUACGAAGCAAGCUGGUCUUUCUAGUCAAUGUCCGGCUGUGACAAUCGCAUUCGUCGAGGGUGCGCGCCUUGAGUGGCAGUUGCGCAGACAACAUUCUGCCGAGUGUGUGGACAUUGAUAAUGAGAGC